GAUGAACGCUAGCGACAGGCUUAACACAUGCAAGUCGAGGGGCAGCAUAAAAGUAGCAAUACUUUGGUGGCGACCGGCGCACGGGUGAGUAACGCGUAUGCAACCUACCUAUCAGAGGGGGAUAACCCGGCGAAAGUCGGACUAAUACCGCAUAAAACAGGGGCACCGCAUGGUGAUAUUUGUUAAAAAUUUAUUGCUGAUAGAUGGGCAUGCGUUCCAUUAGGUAGUUGGAGAGGUAACGGCUCACCAAGCCUACGAUGGAUAGGGGAACUGAGAGGUUGGUCCCCCACACUGGUACUGAGACACGGACCCAGACUCCUACGGGAGGCAGCAGUGAGGAAUAUUGGUCAAUGGGGCGAGAGCCUGAACCAGCCAAGUCGCGUGAAGGAAGAAGGAUCUAUGGUUCGUAAACUUCUUUUGCAGGGAAUAAAGUGCAGGACGUGUCCUGUUUUGUAUGUACCCUGAGAAUAAGGAUCGGCUAACUCCGUGCCAGCAGCCGCGGUAA
This 505-nucleotide ribosomal RNA is filed under the name uncultured bacterium. RNAcentral describes it as "bacterial SSU rRNA". It matches the Rfam family "Bacterial small subunit ribosomal RNA", at positions 28 to 523 of the family's 1533-position model. The record is from RNAcentral.